RNAcentral lists this ribosomal RNA (451 nucleotides) under uncultured bacterium. RNAcentral describes it as "bacterial SSU rRNA". It matches the Rfam family "Bacterial small subunit ribosomal RNA", at positions 354 to 796 of the family's 1533-position model. The record is from RNAcentral.
GUGGGGAAUCUUGCGCAAUGGGCGAAAGCCUGACGCAGCAACGCCGCGUGUGUGAUGAAGGUCUUCGGAUCGUAAAGCACUGUCGCGAGGGACGAAUAAGGCCUCGGCCAAUACCCGGGGACGAUGACGGUACCUCGAAAGGAAGCACCGGCUAACUCUGUGCCAGCAGCCGCGGUAAUACAGAGGGUGCUAGCGUUGUUCGGAAUUAUUGGGCGUAAAGCGCGUGUAGGCGGUCUACCAAGUUGGGUGUGAAAGCCCUCGGCUUAACCGAGGAAGUGCGCCCAAAACUAGCAGACUCGAGUACCGGAGAGGGUGGCGGAAUUCCCGGUGUAGAGGUGAAAUUCGUAGAUAUCGGGAGGAACACCAGCGGCGAAGGCGGCCACCUGGACGGAUACUGACGCUGAGACGCGAAAGCGUGGGGAGCAAACAGGAUUAGAAACCCGGGUAGUCC